CAAGGUAUUAUUUUUUGUGCUUUUCUAGAACUACCAGCAAACUAUAUGUUAAGGAUACCUUAAUUAUAGUUUCUUAUUCUACAAGUUAAUUUUAGAUUCUUACAGCGUGUUUGGUUCGCUGUAAUGGGUAUGCGAUUAUCCAUCUAUUCCACGCGCCUCAUCUAAUUCGGCGUUUGGUUCGCUGCAAUACCUAUUACGGGCGUAUUACAUUACAGGCUUAUUCCCCAAAAUCUCUGCUUUUGUAUUCCCUUCCCAAAACGACGAUUAGCUAUUACGGUCGUCUUCCCAAUUUCUAUGCCCUGUUUUACCCUCCCAGUCUUCUUCAACGAUUAGCUAUUAUGCCGUUUUCAAGGUUAAGGGGUUGGACUGGUACUUGUGGCUUGCGGUUGCGGUUGCUUUUAGUGCCCAAACAAAUUCAAUCCUUGUCAUGCUGGUUAUUGUGAAGUGGUUUACUUUUAGUGCCAAAACAAAUUUAAUUCUUGACAUGCUGGUAGUUGUGGCUUGCGGUUGCUUUUAGUGCCAAAACAUAGCAACUUUUCUGUAAUUGAUUAUGUGUUCAAUGUCACACAUUUUGAAGCUUCAUUUUCUUUGAUUAUUUUGAACCUCAGUUUCAUAUGCUUAUUUCAGAUGUAUGGUUGCCAAGUUAAUGGCUUUGUUUUCCUUGUACAAGAUCCAGCAUUGAGUUGUUAUAGUUGAUUCCAAUCAUACAUGCGAUUAAUCCUGGUUUUUAACAGAGCAGUGGUUGUCUUGGAUGUGAAUGCUAAGGACAAUGAAGGUCAAACCCCAUUGCACUAUGCUGUUAUGUGUGAGAGGGAAGACAUUGCCAAAUUUCUUGUAAAACAAAAUGUAGACAAAGAUACGAAGGAUAGCGAUGGCAACUCUCCAGUCGACCUAUGUGACUCAGAUUGGCCUUGGUUGCAACAUGCGGGCAAAGCGGAAUGACAUGUGCUUUAUUCCCAAGUUUGGUUUCAGUUAAAAAGUACUUGAAAAAAAAUUUCUCGUGGAUGUAAAUUUGGCAUUUUGGGCCAACAAUCUAAGGACGUCAACUUUAUCUUUUUUAUUGUAGUUUUUAUCAAAAUUAAGCAUGGUGGCGUUAAUGUUUAAUAUUUUUUAAAAUUUUUCUAA
Gossypium raimondii (Peruvian cotton) is the source of this 1125-nucleotide RNA transcript. It is a transcript of the gene named acyl-CoA-binding domain-containing protein 2, with no coding region annotated. The record is from RefSeq and is a predicted model, not a curated record. The transcript has 3 exons. Lineage: Eukaryota; Viridiplantae; Streptophyta; Magnoliopsida; Malvales; Malvaceae.